Molecule: transfer RNA, 74 nt
Filed under: Trichomalopsis sarcophagae
Lineage: Eukaryota; Metazoa; Arthropoda; Insecta; Hymenoptera; Pteromalidae
Description: tRNA-OTHER
Rfam family: tRNA
About the family: Transfer RNA (tRNA) molecules are approximately 80 nucleotides in length. Their secondary structure includes four short double-helical elements and three loops (D, anti-codon, and T loops).
Source: RNAcentral
GUAGACGUUAGCUCAGUGGUUAGAGCACAGGCCUCUGGCUCUCGGGUCCGCGAGUUCGAGUCCCGUCGUCUAUA